AUUGAACGCUGGCGGCAUGCCUUACACAUGCAAGUCGAACGGCAGCACGGGUGCUUGCACCUGGUGGCGAGUGGCGAACGGGUGAGUAAUACAUCGGAACGUACCUUAUCGUGGGGGAUAACGCAGCGAAAGCUGUGCUAAUACCGCAUACGCCCUGAGGGGGAAAGCGGGGGAUCGAAAGACCUCGCGCGACUAGAGCGGCCGAUGCCUGAUUAGCUUGUUGGGAGGGUAAAAGCCCACCAAGGCGACGAACAGUAGCUGGUCUGAGAGGACGAUCAGCCAUAUAGGGACUGAGACACGGCCCAAACUGCUACGGGAUGCAGCAGUGGGGAAUUUUGGACCAUGAGGGCAACCCUGAUCCAGCAAUGCCUCGUGAGUGAAGAAGGCCUUCGGGUUGGAAAGCUCUUUUGUCAGGGAAGAAACACCGGCUCUAACACAGUCCGGGAAUGACGGUACCUGAAGAAUAAGCACCGGCUAACUACGUGCCAGCCGCCGCAGUAA
Molecule: ribosomal RNA, 501 nt
Filed under: uncultured bacterium
Lineage: Bacteria
Description: partial 16S ribosomal RNA
Rfam family: Bacterial small subunit ribosomal RNA
Source: RNAcentral